AGCAGUAGCCGCGGGAAUACAGAGGGUGCAAGCGUUAAUCGGAAUUACUGGGCGUAAAGCGCGCGUAGGUGGUUUGUUAAGUUGGAUGUGAAAGCCCCGGGCUCAACCUGGGAACUGCAUCCAAAACUGGCAAGCUAGAGUACGGUAGAGGGUGGUGGAAUUUCCUGUGUAGCGGUGAAAUGCGUAGAUAUAGGAAGGAACACCAGUGGCGAAGGCGACCACCUGGACUGAUACUGACACUGAGGUGCGAAAGCGUGGGGAGCAAACAGGAUUAGAUACCCGUGUAGUCCCUGUCUCUUAUAC
Molecule: ribosomal RNA, 303 nt
Filed under: uncultured bacterium
Lineage: Bacteria
Description: partial 16S ribosomal RNA
Rfam family: Bacterial small subunit ribosomal RNA
Source: RNAcentral